Molecule: ribosomal RNA, 500 nt
Filed under: Rhodotorula mucilaginosa
Lineage: Eukaryota; Fungi; Basidiomycota; Microbotryomycetes; Sporidiobolales; Sporidiobolaceae
Description: partial large subunit ribosomal RNA
Rfam family: Eukaryotic large subunit ribosomal RNA
Source: RNAcentral
GCGAAGCGGGAAGAGCUCAAAUUUAUAAUCUGGCACCUUCGGUGUCCGAGUUGUAAUCUCUAGAAAUGUUUUCCGCGUUGGACCGCACACAAGUCUGUUGGAAUACAGCGGCAUAGUGGUGAGACCCCCGUAUAUGGUGCGGACGCCCAGCGCUUUGUGAUACAUUUUCGAAGAGUCGAGUUGUUUGGGAAUGCAGCUCAAAUUGGGUGGUAAAUUCCAUCUAAAGCUAAAUAUUGGCGAGAGACCGAUAGCGAACAAGUACCGUGAGGGAAAGAUGAAAAGCACUUUGGAAAGAGAGUUAACAGUACGUGAAAUUGUUGGAAGGGAAACGCUUGAAGUCAGACUUGCUUGCCGAGCAAUCGGUUUGCAGGCCAGCAUCAGUUUUCCGGGAUGGAUAAUGGUAGAGAGAAGGUAGCAGUUUCGGCUGUGUUAUAGCUCUCUGCUGGAUACAUCUUGGGGGACUGAGGAACGCAGUGUGCCUUUGGCGGGGGUUUCGACCU